GAUGAAGAACGCAGCGAAAUGCGAUAAGUAAUGUGAAUUGCAGAAUUCAGUGAAUCAUCGAAUCUUUGAACGCACAUUGCGCCCGCUAGUAUUCUGGCGGGCAUGCCUGUCCGAGCGUCAUUUCAACCCUCAAGCCCCCGGGUUUGGUGUUGGGGAUCGGCUCUGCCCUUCUGGGCGGUGCCGCCCCCGAAAUACAUUGGCGGUCUCGCUGCAGCCUCCAUUGCGUAGUAGCUAACACCUCGCAACUGGAACGCGGCGCGGCCAUGCCGUAAAACCCCAACUUCUGAAUGUUGACCUCGGAUCAGGUAGGAAUACCCGCUGAACUUAAGCAUAUCAAUAAGCGGAGGA
RNAcentral lists this unclassified non-coding RNA (348 nucleotides) under soil metagenome. RNAcentral's name for it is "partial contains 5.8S ribosomal RNA, internal transcribed spacer 2, and large subunit ribosomal RNA". The stretch from base 1 to 120 matches the Rfam family "5.8S ribosomal RNA", at positions 35 to 154 of the family's 154-position model. The record is from RNAcentral.